AGUAAAAGUCGUAACAAGGUUUCCGUAGGUGAACCUGCGGAAGGAUCAUUAUAGAGCGUGAAGCUAUGCGGAACUUCGUUUCGUGUAGUUGACCCUCCACCCGUGUCGAUUAUCUCAUGUUGCUUUGGCGGAUCGGGCUUGCCCGCGCCCACUUUGUGGGGGACAUCCGCCAGGGAAAACCAAAACUCUUGUUAUUAGUGAUGUCUGAGGAUGAUAUAUAAUCAUGAAAACUUUCAACAACGGAUCUCUUGGCUCUGGCAUCGAUGAAGAACGCAGCGAAAUGCGAUAAGUAAUGUGAAUUGCAGAAUUUAGUGAAUCAUCGAAUCUUUGAACGCACAUUGCGCCCCUGGGAAUUCCCAGGGGCAUGCCUGUUCGAGCGUCCGUAACAACCUCUCAAGCCUAGCUUGGUAUUGGGACUCGCUGCCCUUGUGGCGGUCCUCAAAAGCAGUGGCGGGACCAUGUAACUCUCCGCGUAGUAAUACAUCUCGCGACAGAGAAGCAUUGGGACUUGCCAAAACUCCUUAAUUGCUCAGGUUGACCUCGAAUCAGGUAGGGAUACCCGCCGAACUUAAGCAUAUCAAUAAGCGGAGGAAAAGAAACCAACAGGGAUUGCCUUAGUAACG
RNAcentral lists this ribosomal RNA (623 nucleotides) under uncultured fungus. RNAcentral describes it as "eukaryotic LSU rRNA". The stretch from base 229 to 382 matches the Rfam family "5.8S ribosomal RNA". The record is from RNAcentral. Lineage: Eukaryota; Fungi.